Non-coding RNA from Phoenix dactylifera (date palm), 2177 nucleotides. The record is from RefSeq and is a predicted model, not a curated record. Lineage: Eukaryota; Viridiplantae; Streptophyta; Magnoliopsida; Arecales; Arecaceae.
CAAUCCAUACCCGCGUCUGACUUCCUUCCUCUCUCCUGUCUUUUUAGUUCCUCCUCUUCUCUCCUUCCAUUUUCCCCUCUUGCUCCCCAAAAGCUUCUUCAAGAAGAGAGAGACUCCCCUCCUAUGGCUUCUUCGUCCACCGCUUCCUCCCCUCUCUAAAGAAAGACCUCUUUCGUUCCGUUUCCAUCCUCAUUAGAGCUAUUAUUAUGCCUGAAUAUCUCCUGUACCUUCUCCUUGUCUUCCUCCUCCUCACUUCUCCAUCCCCCUCCUUUGUUCCAGACGACCGAAAUCACUCGCAGAAGCCCCUGAUCUUGGGAGAAUUCCUUCUUGAUCUGCUCCUCCUGGAGCUGCGCGUCCGCGCCCGGCGCCUCCUUCCCACCCUCCACUGCUCCCUCCACUGCUUCGUCGACCAGCGCCUCCGCCGCAUCCGUGUCCUCUCCGUCCGUUUAAAACCCCUCCUCGCAUGAUCUCCCGCCCACUCCAUUCCUCCAUUUCUCCUUGCCGUCACCGUCCUCUCCUUUUCCUCUUCAAUUUCUCCUCUUGUGUUAUGCGGUUCCUGAAGUCGUGGUGGCUGUGCCAGUUUCUCUCUUGCCCUUCCCUCCGAUGGAUGCCGUGCCAUGAAUCCUUGAUGUCUCUGAUCCCUCCCCGUUCUCACUCUCUCUUGGAGAGUGAGGCCGUGGCGAUUGGAAAUGAGGCUAAUGGGAAGGGGAGCUGGAUGUCUCUUCGAAGGCGGUGGUGGCCGGGGGUUGAUGGGCUCGAGCUUUUUCUUGUGCUGCUCUUGAUAUCGACCAUGUUUGCUGAAGUCCGUUACAUUGCCUCUUCCUCCAUGUUCCCUACUUUCCGUGCUGGUGAUCGGAUCAUCGCUGAAAAGGUUUCAUACUAUUUCAGGAGCCCUUCCGUGGAUGAUAUUGUCCUUUUCAGGGCCCCUACUUGUUUACAGGAUUUUGGAUUCAAGAAGGAUGAUGUUUUAAUAAAAAGGAUUGUUGCAAAGGCCGGAGACUGUGUCGAGGUUCACCAUGGUUUGCUUUUCAUCAACGGAGUUGCCCAGAAGGAAGAAUUUGUUGCAGAAAAACCAGUUUACAGAAUGAGAGCGACACGCGUGCCUGCAGGCCAUGUCUAUGUGAUGGGCGACAACCGGAACAACAGCUAUGAUUCGCAUGUCUGGGGACCUCUUCCUGUUGCCAAUAUUGUAGGAAGAUACGUGAUGUGUUGUUCCUAGCCGCAGAGGUCGGUGGAUUCAGGUGUCACCAACUGCCUGUUUUUGAUGGGAUUUUUCAUGUUGUUCCAGACAUGAAAUGCUAGGGACUUCGCUAGUUGCAGGCUUGUUUGAUUUUAUUUCUCGCAUGGAUGACAUUGCCUAGGUAACAUCCUCUCUGCCACCCUCACCCCAUGCAGCUCGGCCGGGUUUACUGCUGUUCUUCCUCGUGAUCACCCUCAUCUUCAUCACAGAUAUCCUCUUGCCGGGUUAAGCAUCUUCCACAUUCUCUACUGCCCACCAUCUCCUCCCUUUACCUCUUCCUCUUCGUCUUUAACAUCACCAUCUCCGACCAGCUUUCCUCCCGCAUCAACCUCUCCAUGGCUGUUUCCUUAAAUGGCUUUCCUCCUGGCUCGACAACAGGUCCUUCCCGGCCUUUGUCCACGAUACUGAGAACGCUACCAUUCAUCCAUGCCUUCGCCCUCACUAUUACCAACCUCCUCGUACCUUUUCCUCGCCACUGCCAUGCCCUCCUUUGCCUUCAACGUUCACGUAUUCAGCCACCAUUAAAACCAAAAAACUCUUACCUCUUCUGAUAAAUGAAGCGAAGGAUAUGUUUUGGCCUUAAAAGUAAUCUGUUAAGAUCUAAUUAACGGGGAUAGAUAGCAGGACUACAUUGCUGUUAGUUAAGAAUUUGAAGAGCUUAAUUGAAACUUUUAAAAAUACUGGAAUGUAUAUGCAAUAUGAAAGAUGUUGAGGGAUCAGAAGAUAAUUUUUUUGAAAAAAAUCUGCAUCCCCCUUCUGAUGCUAACUACAGCCUAAAAGGAUAACUAAUGACAGCCAUAAAGACACAAAUAUGUAUCUUUCUUACAAACAAUAUAUAGAGCUAGAAACAAAUCAGAUAUAGUUUGAAUACUGGUAUAUUCAUAUUUAUAUUUAUUUUAUUUAAUAAAUAUAAAAACUAGCACAAAUAUUACUCAAA